UGUGCUUCAUUCUAUAGAGAAGAUAGACAUAGGUCCGUGGGACAUUGUUUGAAAUAUUGGCUUGAAAAUAUCCACAUGUCGCGUGGCGGCAUUGUGCUUCGUUCGUGGAACGAAGGUCAGAUCUUUUUCGACUCACUUUAACUAUAAUAUAAGGCUUUUUGCAUAGCACUAAGCCCUUCGUCCCUGGGACGAGCAAUAGUAUCUACUAUUCAAUAAUAAAAUGGAUUACAUGUGAAUGAUGUGAAGAAAUACGUCAUCCGUGGGAUGAUAAAUUGUGAAUUGCUUUAUAUACUUAACCUAA
Long non-coding RNA from Cydia fagiglandana, 301 nucleotides. RefSeq lists it as uncharacterized. The record is from RefSeq and is a predicted model, not a curated record. The transcript has 2 exons. Lineage: Eukaryota; Metazoa; Arthropoda; Insecta; Lepidoptera; Tortricidae.